GAUGAACGCUGGCGGCGUGCCUAAUACAUGCAAGUCGAGCGAACAGACGAGGAGCUUGCUCCUCUGACGUUAGCGGCGGACGGGUGAGUAACACGUGGAUAACCUACCUAUAAGACUGGGAUAACUUCGGGAAACCGGAGCUAAUACCGGAUAACAUGUUGAACCGCAUGGUUCAACAGUGAAAGACGGUCUUGCUGUCACUUAUAGAUGGAUCCGCGCCGCAUUAGCUAGUUGGUAAGGUAACGGCUUACCAAGGCAACGAUGCGUAGCCGACCUGAGAGGGGGAUCGGCCACACUGGAACUGAGACACGGUCCAGACUCCGACGGGAGGCAGCAGUAGGGAAUCUUCCGCAAUGGGCGAAAGCCUGACGGAGCAACGCCGCGUGAGUGAAGAAGGUCUUCGGAUCGUAAAACUCUGUUAUUAGGGAAGAACAAAUGUGUAAGUAACUAUGCACGUCUUGACGGUACCGAAGCAGAAAGCCACGGCUAACUACGU
Molecule: ribosomal RNA, 496 nt
Filed under: uncultured bacterium
Lineage: Bacteria
Description: partial 16S ribosomal RNA
Rfam family: Bacterial small subunit ribosomal RNA
Source: RNAcentral